This 216-nucleotide unclassified non-coding RNA is filed under the name uncultured Clavaria. RNAcentral describes it as "partial internal transcribed spacer 2". Lineage: Eukaryota; Fungi; Basidiomycota; Agaricomycetes; Agaricales; Clavariaceae. The record is from RNAcentral.
GUCUCUCAACACGAGAAAACUUGUUUCUUGUGCUUGGAAAGUGAAGGUUUUGCUGGCGCAAAUAACUGUCAGCUCCUUUUAAAUGCAUUAGCAGAACAGUGUAGGACUGGCCUCAGUUUGAUAAGAAAUAUUUAUCUAUGCUGUCGCUAGAUUUCCUCUUUGUGUUCAGCUUCAAACUGUCUUCGGACUGUCUCUCUUGAGGCAAAAUAAUUUAUU